This 215-nucleotide long non-coding RNA is filed under the name Ananas comosus (pineapple). RNAcentral describes it as "long non-coding RNA (ACOM_LNC016408)". Lineage: Eukaryota; Viridiplantae; Streptophyta; Magnoliopsida; Poales; Bromeliaceae. The record is from RNAcentral.
CCCUGACAUUCUCCCCCACCUAACGCGCAGACGCCCUCGUCACGCGCUAAGCUGCUCCCGGUCUGCGUAGCCUUUCACACAGUCCGCUGUGCCUUCACGCACGAUUGGCCCCGAUCUUUGCUACCGCAGUCCGCCUUCACUUCCGCACCAGCUCCUAAUUCCUCGCCCCUCUGAGCGCGAACACCGGCUAACUCGCUACGCGAAAAAUUCGCCGA